This 469-nucleotide ribosomal RNA is filed under the name uncultured bacterium. RNAcentral's name for it is "bacterial SSU rRNA". It matches the Rfam family "Bacterial small subunit ribosomal RNA", at positions 355 to 825 of the family's 1533-position model. The record is from RNAcentral.
UGGGGAAUAUUGCGCAAUGGGGGAAACUCUGAACCAGCCAUGCCGCGUGAAGGAUGACGGCGCUACGCGUUGUAAACUUCUUUUGAAUGGGGACAAAUCACCGGUCGUGCACCGGUGUUGAGGGUACCAUUAGAAUAAGCACCGGCUAACUCUGUGCCAGCAGCCGCGGUAAUACAGAGGGUGCAAGCGUUAUCCGGAAUUACUGGGUUUAAAGGGUGCGUAGGCGGUCCCAUAAGUCUGUCGUGAAAUGCAGCGGCUUAACCGUAUGAACUGCGAUGGAUACUGUGGGACUUGAAUAAGGUUGAGGCAGGCAGAAUGUGGCAUGUAGCGGUGAAAUGCUUAGAUAUGCCAUAGAACACCGAUUGCGAAGGCAGCUUGCCAAGCCUUUAUUGACGCUGAGGCACGAAAGUGUGGGGAGCAAACAGGAUUAGAUACCCAAGUAGUCCCUGAGCGGGCUGGCAAGGCGCAU